Molecule: ribosomal RNA, 292 nt
Filed under: uncultured eukaryote
Lineage: Eukaryota
Description: partial 18S ribosomal RNA
Rfam family: Eukaryotic small subunit ribosomal RNA
Source: RNAcentral
GGUUGAUCCUGCCAGUAGUCAUAUGCUUGUCUCAAAGAUUAAGCCAUGCAUGUCUAAGUAUAAACAUCUUUAUACCGUGAAACUGCGUACAGCUCAUUAAAACAGUCAUAAUUUAUUUGAAGGUCAUUUACUACAUGGAUAACCGUAGUAAUUCUAGAGCUAAUACAUGCGUAAGAUUCCGACUCGUAAGGGAAGGAAGGUAUUUAUUAGAUAAAAAACCAAUGGCGUAGCAAUACGUCACAAACAUUGGUGAUUCAUAGUAACUGUUCGAAUCGUAUAACUUUAUUGUUGA